RNAcentral lists this ribosomal RNA (608 nucleotides) under uncultured bacterium. Its description in RNAcentral is "bacterial SSU rRNA". It matches the Rfam family "Bacterial small subunit ribosomal RNA", at positions 338 to 948 of the family's 1533-position model. The record is from RNAcentral.
CCUACGGGAGGCAGCAGUGAGGAAUAUUGGACAAUGGGCGCAAGCCUGAUCCAGCCAUGCCGCGUGCAGGAAGAAGCAUCUAUGGUGUGUAAACUGCUUUUGUACAGGAAGAAACACUCCCUCGUGAGGGAGCUUGACGGUACUGUAAGAAUAAGGACCGGCUAACUCCGUGCCAGCAGCCGCGGUAAUACGGAGGGUCCGAGCGUUAUCCGGAAUCAUUGGGUUUAAAGGGUCCGUAGGCGGUUUAAUAAGUCAGUGGUGAAAUCUGGUCGCUCGACGACCAAACGGCCAUUGAUACUGUUAGACUUGAAUUAUAAGGAAGUAACUAGAAUAUGUAGUGUAGCGGUGAAAUGCUUAGAUAUUACAUGGAAUACCAAUUGCGAAGGCAGGUUACUACUUAUGGAUUGACGCUGAUGGACGAAAGCGUGGGGAGCGAACAGGAUUAGAUACCCUGGUAGUCCACGCCGUAAACGAUGGAUACUAGCUGUUCGGAGCAAUCUGAGUGGCUAAGCGAAAGUGAUAAGUAUCCCACCUGGGGAGUACGUUCGCAAGAAUGAAACCUUAAGGAAUUGACGGCUGAGAGAGCGAGACGACGACGAGGGAGGAGG